RNAcentral lists this ribosomal RNA (253 nucleotides) under uncultured bacterium. Its description in RNAcentral is "partial 16S ribosomal RNA". It matches the Rfam family "Bacterial small subunit ribosomal RNA", at positions 524 to 776 of the family's 1533-position model. The record is from RNAcentral.
GACGAGGGGUCCUAGCGUUGUUCGGAAUCACUGGGCGUAAAGCGUUUGUAGGCGGCCUUGCAAGUCGGGUGUGAAAUCCCACGGCUCAACCGUGGAAGUGCAUUCGAAACUGCAGGGCUUGAAUAUGGAAGAGGAGAGCAGAAUUCCAGGUGUAGUGGUGAAAUACGUAGAUAUCUGGAGGGAUACCGGUGGCGAAGGCGGCUCUCUGGUCCAAUAUUGACGCUGAGAAACGAAAGCGUGGGGAUCAAACAGG